This 11195-nucleotide long non-coding RNA is filed under the name Capsicum annuum. Its description in RNAcentral is "long non-coding RNA (CANN_LNC006742)". The record is from RNAcentral. Lineage: Eukaryota; Viridiplantae; Streptophyta; Magnoliopsida; Solanales; Solanaceae.
AUCCCAAGCUAAUCCAUGAACUGGCACUGUUAAGCAACUGAAUUAUAACAUAAUUAAUAGAUGUUCUGCUGUGCAGAAAUAUAAUCAUACUUAAAAUCUAAACUAGAUACAAUACUGAUAAAGCUUUACAAUAUGAUAAAUCCGAAGGAUGAAACUGAAAUUACAUGAGUGACUCUGACUGACAUCUAUGAAGCCUUUACUAUACUAACUGUAGAUAGCUGGGACAUGCCUCCAACUACCACUAAUCAAUACACAUGAAAUUAAAUGAACUGUACAUGAACUAAAACUGUCUGGAGUUCCCGAAUUAAGAGAACUCAUCACCUGCUGGCUGAAAUCUGCAACUGUCUGAUCGUGAUAUGCGGGCUACAACUGGUACCUACAUUAUGAAAUAAUGUAUCUACACAGACAUAUAUGUGGAUCAAUACUUCUGGAAUGUACCGUGUAUACAAGGGUGAAUGCAAUAAGUAAAAAUGAUUUCAUACGUAAUCGUAAAACAUGUAUGCUGAUUAUAAGUAGACUCACCAAUAGGCUGGAAUAAACUGAAAACUGAAAUACCUUAAAGCAUGAGUUACAAACAUUCUCUGAUAAGAUGGUGAAUCUCUACACUUAGUUUCUGUAAAACUUUACUUUAUUGAUAUAAGUAUAACUGAAGUUGGGAUAUGAUAAAACAUAGAUACUAUAUGAAUACUGGGUCUGAAACUACGUGAUGGAGAUUGAUAUAGAUUGAGGAUCUGAAUAUACAAUCACACUGAGCACAAAUGCAUAAACAUAUUAACUUAUCUGAUUAACUGAAUGACUGAUAGCUGAAUAUUGGGCAUGUAAGACUGAACUGUACUUAGUCUGAAUAACUGGACUGAAACUGUAGAGUAUUAUGCAUAUGAGGAAAGGACUGACCGAGUAACAUGAGAUAACUGAACAUGAAUUUGUGACAACAGUUUUACCUGAGAAUGCAAGACCAAGCGUAUAACAUGAUUCUGAAAUAGUCUGUAAACUGAGGUACUGAAAUAUUGAUAACAGUACACUAUAGUCAAGCAAACCUGAAACUGAACAGAGUUACUGAUCUGAUUACUAGACUAAGACUGUGACUGAGAUUAUAACUAAGACGGUAACUGAGACUAUAACUGAGAUUGUAACUAAGACUGUAACUGAGACUAUAAAUGAGACUGUAAAUAAGACUAUAACUGAAACUAUAACUGGAAUUAAAUAUUGUGUUUUGUUAACUGAGUAACUGAUAACUGGGUAACUGUUUCUGAUAGUCCUGAUUUUGUAGAACUAAACUGAGUUCUAUACUGAGCUGGGUGACUAUUUCUGACAGUCCUAAUUUGUGGAAUAUAACUAAGUUCCAUCCCGAGUUUGAAGCUGAAAUGUAACUGUGUGAGUGUUCAUCUAAGCGAUAUGCCCCAAAUAAGAUAACUGGGGUCAAACCUGUAACCCCAAUUGGAAGGGUGUCAGUACCGUGCCACAGGUAAAAAGAAGUUGGUGAGUCAUCCUCAUCUGGCAAGUGCUCUGAAUGAGAUUGGUAGUACUUUCAACUAGCAGAUAAGAUACCUCAUCAACCCUUAACUGGCAGGUUGAUGUCUCAACCUAUGCUGACUACGUAAUUCUAGAAUACAAGGACUGCUUCUAAGGAUUUCGCCCUCUGCUGGCAAGUGAGUCCCCAUCCUUGGGUUCACUCUGUAUUGAAUCCUACUCCCAACUAAAUAGACAUUGAACUGAUUUCUAAACUGUACUAGGCUGGACUGAGUUGUUACUGAUCCUGCUAACUGACUGAACUGGACUGAGUUCACUGAGUUUUGUUAACUGACUGAAUACAGUAAGUUCUGUAACUAACUGAGUACUACUGUACAUGACAUCACUGAGACUAUUCUGUAACUACUGUAGCUCUAGGUAAACAACUAGAUUUUCGAGUAUUGAAUACCCCCAAGACUUAGUAACAAUAACACCUGUCACGCCCCAUUUUCCUCGUGAAAAACAAGAUUCGACGUGACCACUAUUUUUGGGAUUGUUUAAGAAAAGAGAGUGUAAAGAGUCGCCACCUAACGAAUUAAUGUGCGUUAGGGCACCGAUCUAGGCUAACUACGAACCUAUUUUGUUGUUUUGUCUUAGUUCACCAGAAAUUCGAAUAAGUGUUCAAAUUACCUCAAAAGGAAGGUGUUAGGCACCUUUUGAGGUCUACAAAGGUGGUUCCCAUCCAAAUUCAUAUUUUACGUGGGGAUUCUAUGAGAUCAAAUAAAGGUCUCUUAUUUUAACAUUAAUUGUUAACUAAAUGAUAAAACAAUUAAUGAACAAAACAUGUUAUUUUAUUAUUUCUAAUUGUUAAUUGGCUAACUAAUAAAAACAGUAAACACAUUUCAUAAGACAAGCGAGGAGAAAGAAAUGACAUAAUUUAUAACAAAAAGGGACUGUUUAUAUAAUAAACUAACUACCUCAAAUAAAUAAACAUGCAAAGUAAAUAAAAGAAUAAAAAGAAUUCGUCAAAUCAAACAAAGAAAGAUUUUUGGUCUAAUUCAAAUCAAAAACCCAAUUUGCUUAAUCAUCAUCCAACCCACUGGCAAACUCUUAGACAAGUGACAAUGUCACUAGUCUUACCGUCAAUAUCUAUUGGGAUCAUUAUGUUCGAACAACUACCAACCCUACCCCACCUAGGCUGGUUGUUAAGUUUAAAGACGUUCUAUGACAAGGAUAAAACUACCACCUUAAGUAAUAUUUAUCGUCCCACCUAUCGUCCAAAAGGCAUUGGACUUUGCUAUUUUGAUUUGAUGGUCUAGACUAAAUAAAGCUAUGUUGCCUAGGACUCGAAGCACAUAACAAAUAGGACAUCACGUAGCACAUAUUAUCCCAAGUUAGCCUCUUGAUUAAUUAAUGUUUGUUAAUGUGAUUAACACACAAAGACAAAUAAUUCUUUAUUUUGUGUCAUUGACCUAUAGGCAUGCUAUCUAAGUAUUCAACAAUUGAUGACAAAAGACAACUGUGAUUCGUGUGUGUAACAAUGUGUAGUUAAAUUGUGAAAAGAGGGUCUCAAAAGUGUGAUAAAUAUGUUAGGGAAUUGUGCUCACAAAUUAAAAGUUAAAAACUAAUGAGAACAUAAGAAAUAAACACAAUAUUGGAAAUGCAUUAACGUGCUAAAGAACACAAUGGCGUACCUAAUCUAGUGUUAACAUGUUGAAAAUGCUCAAGAUUCGAUAUUUUAACAUGUGGGCAAUAAUGCUAACAGUGCAGACAUUUCAUAUUAAUAUGUUGGGAAGUGCUAAAAAUGCCUAAAAUCUAAAAUGCUGAAAUUAAUGAUUUUACGCAGAAAUGCAGUACAGACAUGCUGAAAUUUAAUUAUUUUAUGCAGAAACUAUUUUAGCAUGCUGGAAUUUAAUACUCCCAUCGUCACAUUUUAUGUGUCGCCAAAAUGGGACAUGCACGAAAUUUAAGAAAUAGGUAAAGACAUGAUUCUUUUUACCAAAGUGUCCUUUAAAACAAUGCACUAUUAUUAUUUUUAAUUAAUUGGACCUUAUAAGUGGUAAGAAUAAGGGUAAGUGUAAUUGUAUUUUUAAAUAGUUACCAAACAAAAAAAAAAGACAUUCUAAUUGGGAUGGAGGGAGUAUUAACAUACAGAAAAAUGCAUUAACACUAUAGUUUUUGACAUGCUGAAAAAUAUGUUAAUGCACAUAAAUUUAUAUGUUAACCAUGCUACAAUUUAAACAUGGACGUAUUUAAUUCUAAUGAUCAACAUGCUUAUGCAGGAAUUUAAUUGUUGACAUGCUCAAAAAUACAAACAUGCUGAAAAUAGUAUUAAUAUGCUGAAAUUUAGCUUAAACCUAAUGUUUAACCAUAUUAACAUUCCAAGAUUCAUUUUAAUACGUAGAAAUUUAAUACUAACAUGAUCUAACAAUGCUGAAAUACGUGUGAAUGUGCAAAGACAAGCUCUAAUAAUGCUGAACUUGUUUUAAUGCGCGAAAACAUGUAAUAAUGCUGAAACUUGUUUUAAUGUGCAGAAACAUGCUAUAAUAAUGUUGAAAUUAUUUUAAUGUGCAGAAAAAUUGUUUCAAUAUGUAGAAACUUAUUAACACGUCAAAAUCUAUUUUAGUAUACCAUACAACGCUUAAAUCCUAAAAGCAUGAUUUCUAAUCGUCUUAAUAAGUAGAUUAAUUGUCUAAGCAGUUCAUAUGUUGAUAAAUCUUAGGUUUGUGUGCCUAAAUGAUCCAUGAUCCAUGUAGCAUGUAACACGCGUAAAACCUAAAUUGUGCCUAUCUACACUAUUCAUAGAGCACAUAAGUCCCCGCCCCUCGAAGCAGUCCCCAAUAUUUAUUAUUACAUCAAUAGUAAUAUUGUACAAUAAUAUUACAAACCAAAUAAUAAGAAAAAAAAAACUAAAUAAAACUAAUACAAUCUAUUGUAAACACCCGGCGACUCUUGCGAUCUCCAAAACACUCCAAAACACCACUUAACAAUAUCUGCUAGAUACAAAUUGAAAGAGCACGACAAGCACAAAAGAAACAACACAUGAUCCUAAACCACACAUCGUUUCAAACAGAGGAACCACGAAAACACAUGCAUAUUAAGCAAGCAUUGUUUCAAAUUAGUUCCUAUAGACAUACUUUCUAUGAUUUAAACCAAAAGAAGGAAAGUAAUUGCAUCGAGUGGGAACAUACAGGUGAUGAUAAACAAUAAUAAUAAGAAAGAAGAAGACCAAAUAGACCGAAAUCUAGAAAGUGAAUUGCCACCGAGAGGACAAAGUUAAAGCUCCGAAAGUAAGUACAGAAGCGGUAAAAUAAGACUGUUUCUUUUCUUUUUUCUUUUUUAAAGCUUUAGUAGAAGAGAGUAUAUGUAGUUUGUUGUAACUUGUGAGUUCAAAGUUCUUGUUUAUCACAGAGAAUAGAUACACUAGAGAGUAAGGAGAGUGUAGAUAUUAUAGAGUGUAAGUUGUGUGUUGUAACUUGUUUCAGUAAUAGAAGGAGGCGUCUUUAUAUAGUAAAGGGGUUUAGAGGAUAGAAGGAAGAAAAUGAAAGGAUAUCAAAGAAAAAUAGGUCACUCUAAACAACCAAUCAGAAUAAAUUAAGAGGAGGAAAAUAAGCUGAUGAAUCAAUUAAUAGAAAGCUUUAAAUAGGUGAAUCAAGCAUCCAUAAAUCAGUCCAAUAAUAAAGGAAAGCAAAUGUUUUAAAAAAUCAAUCAACAAUAUUAUUUUCCUUAACUAAAUAAGUAGAGCAAGUUUAGCAUAGAUAGGUGCAAAAAAAUAAAUAACUAAAAGAUGAAAAUAUGCGACAGUUUUUACCAAAAUCAAUAGAUCAAUCAACGAAAGAAAAGCAAUUAACCCAAAAAUAUUCCCUAAUCACAACGGUUUGGUCAAUCCCAUAAUAUCAGUCCAAGAAGGAAAAUCAAGUAGGUGCAAACAGAAGAUCUAUCCAUAUUUAAGUAGGUAAAAUUAAUUAGGUGGAAGACCAAUAAAAGGCACAACAAAUCAACCCACGAAACAGGAACCAUAAGUGGCCAAUUUAUUCAAAUUUAUAUUGGAAAAAAAUAACUAAUACGUAUAUCCUCAAUUAACCCCGAGUCAGAGAUAACUAAUACGUAUAAGUGGCCAAUUUAUUCAAAUUUAUAUUGGAAAAAAAUAACUAAUACGUAUAUCCUCAAUUAACCCCGAGUCAGACAUGUUUAAGUAAAGAAAAUGACACAAUUUGCAAAAUUAUUUUAAUUUCCACAAGAAAACUGAAUUAAGUAAUAGGGUAAACAAUUAAACAGCUAGUCAAAAGAAUAUCGAAUCAGUGAAACUUCCUUCCAUAUAUCAUGAUAAUCACUUAUAGCCAAAAAGCUCCAUUAACGGUGUAAAAUUCAACCAAUUAGCAGAGAAUAAGGGAGAGAAAAGAAAUAUAAGGCUAAGUCAUUAAGGCAGUAUCAGUCGAACAACAACUACACGUAAUCAAUCAUCUCUUCAACGGUAACAACAAUCCAAACUAACAUGUCCAAAAUUGUGCCAAGUCGGUCUAAUAGUAGUUCAUAAAUUUUAGGGCUUUUAUCAUAUGAUAGUAUUAUCACAUAAACAAACUCAAAUAGCAGAGAAUCAGACAAAGAGAUCAAUCACACUUUGUUAAUUCUGAAUCCAAAAUCUGUCAAAGAAAAGGGAAGAAGAGGUAGUAUAAAAUAAAACACAGAUAUCUAAAUAUUUGGGUUAAACCUGUGGAUGGGUUUCUGAGACCCAUCAUUCUCUGAAACGGGCAGUGGCGGCGACUGACAGCGUUGGUGGAUGAGCAGAUCUGGGUGAUGGGGAGAAGAGAUCGAAGGAGAUGGAGGCGGUGGACUGAGUCGCGGGGCGACGGCAUCGUCGCCGUGGCUGGACCGAUCUUGCCGACUGCAUGGCGUUUUGCGCAGUGGGGACCGACGGCGCUGAAGGGGAGAGGACGGCAGCCAUGGCUAUUUGCUGGAGGGAUUCGACGGCUUGGGAAGGCUGGCCGUCGUUGUUUUUGCCACUGAUGGUGCCGGUGGUCUGGCGGAUCUGGCUGGUCGGCCGCAUGGCGGAGGUAGAGAUGGGUUAGCCUGAGAGAGACGGUGACAUGGAUGGAAUUCCCCAGUUUGGGCUGGCCGGAGAUGGUGGCGACUGCCAUGGUUAUUGAGGGAGAGAGAGAUAAGAGAGAAAAUAGAUAGAGCAGGGGUGAGUUUGUGCGGCUGAAAAAAUGAAAAUGGGGGUAGAGUUUGCUGUUAAGGGUUAAAAAGGAAAGUGGGGGAGAAAUUUGAUCUCAGUCGUAGAUCACUUUUUGAUCAACGGUCGAUAUUCAAAGUAUAGAAUACUUAAAAUUGGACAACAAUUGAAUUGAAGAAUUGAAAUUAAAUUCAAUUGGGUACAAAUUAGGCUAGCAUUGUAAUUCAGUUGACUGAAUUAGGGGCUAAAAUUGUCAUGACUGAGAUAAAAAUGGGCUAAAAGAUAAAUAAAUUAGGUAAAGUCAUUUUAAUUUAGGUUGUUACUUAAAUAAUAAUGGAGAUAAUAAUAAAUAAUAAAUAGUAAAUAAUAAUAAUAAUAAAUAAUAUUUAUAAUAACAAUAAUAAUAAAUAAUAAUAAAUAAAUAAUACUAAAUAAUGGAAAACUGGGCAAGAAUUUGCAAAAAUGUAAGUAUGCACAGUUGCGAAUAAUUUAAUAAAAUUAUGUAAAUGUCGCAUUUGAGUUUUAAAAUUAUAAAAAUUAUACUAAAAGAAAAAUAUAAUAAUUUGUGCAUUUUCUAAAUUAUGGAUGUGACACGUCAAUAAUCUGUUUGAUUGAAGAAAAAUGUGUAAAAAAUACUAACAUUUAAAAUUAAUAAUUUUGCUAAAAUAACAGCCUCAAAGGAGCAUCGGGUGAUCAAAAUUGGGUGUCAACAGCUGCCCCUUCAUUGUUUGAGAAUGAUGAACGAAUUGUCAAACAACGAAAGUUGACGCAAUAGCCAAUUUAUCUGACCGAGAAAGAUUUGUUGGAAUUAAAGCAACAAAAGGUGGUUAAAAAUAGUGUGGCCGAAACUUCGAUUUCAAGUCGCCUACAUAUCUCUAGUUUUACGAGAAUCAGGCUAUUUGUAGUUCUAGAUUUAGGAAUGAACAAUAUUCUUAAAGAAUGUCAUUAAUAAAAGAUGGGACAUUAAAAAAUGAUAUUGUGGGUCAACAAGCUGGGAUGAAUAUGAUUUGAAAUAAUGACGUAAGGGGGGACGUGAAAAUAAAAGGUGUGUGAGUUUCAGGAUAAGUACACGCGAUAGAUGAAUAGAUGGGGUGAUAUUUUGAAAACAGGAACGAAAAUUAUCUUUGUUUGUUAUUCUUCCCCUGUUACCUGCGUCUUUACAUCAUACUAAAUAACAAAAGUAAGACAUGUAAGAAAUAAACAACUGAUAAACAUAAAGUGAAUAUGGAAAUAAAGAAAGCAUAUCUGUUGUACUGUUGAAUCAGUUGUUUGACUUCUUGAUGUGAUGUUGGAUCGGAUAUUGAACCUCUCAAUGUAACGUUGGAUCAACUGUUUGGUUUCUCGAUAUGACAUUGGAUCAGCUGUUGGACCUCUCUAUGUAUCAUUGUAUCAGUUGUUCGGCUUUUCGAUAUAACGAUGGAUCGACUGUUGGACCUCUCGAUGUAUAUGACGUUGGAUCGGUUGUUGGACCUCUCGAUGUAUCGUUGGAUCAACUGUUUGGCUUCUUGAUAUGAUAUUGGAUCGGCCGUUGGACCUCUUGAUGUAUCGUUGGAUCUGUUGUUAUACCUCUCGAUGUAUCAUUAGAUCAACUGUCCGGCUUCUCGAUAUGAUGUUGGAUCGAUUGUUGGACCUCUCGACGUAUGGUUGGAUCAACUGUUUGGCUUCUCAUGAUGGAUUAAUUUGUGCUUAUUGGUCCUGCCACUUUAACUCAACUAGAUAAAAAUGGUUAGCACAGAUAUAUAUGUAUGUAUAGAAGAUUGAACAAUGUAGUGAAAACAACCAUAACAAUAAUGAUAAGAAGAGAUAAGAAAACAUAUUUGUUGUACCGUUGGAUCAACCAUUGGGUCUUCUCGUUAUGAUGUUGGACUAGCCUUUGGGUCUCUCGUGAUAGAGUGAUUGUUGUCAUUUGUACCUGUUAAUCCAGUACUCAAAGAAAAAGCCGUCAGCUAAAAAGAAAUAUAGAUUUGUACUAUGCUCGAGUCCUCGGUCAUUGUUUUCUACUCCAUGAACUGUUGAAAGUUGUACUCCGUCGUGAUGAAAUUUUUGAAAAUCUCAAAAAUUUCUGCCCCAGUUUAAAAUGUAAAGCGCCUUCCGCACGUCAUUGUGAAUAGAUUAUUUACUCAUGAAAUUUUUAAGGAAUUCUAAAAAUUUUUUGCCCCAAUUUAAAAUGAAAGACGCCUUUUACAUGUCACUAUGAAUUGAUAUAUUGUUUAAUUGUGAAAUUUUUGAUGUUUACUUGAAACGUCAAAAAUUCUGCCCCAGUUUUUGUCUUUGGAAAGAAAAUUGCCGAGAAGAAGUGUGGGUAAGGCGAGGAUAAGGAGUCAUAGUGUUUUGCCUUGGGCAAUGAGAAGAGGGACUGAAAAAUUUUCAGAUAUUGAGCAUAUUUGUCAUAUUGUAAAUUGUCACUUGAUCGUAAACAGCCUUUCUACUUCUUUAGAGGUAGAGGUAUGGACUGCGUACAUCUUACCCUCCCUAGACCUCACUAUGUGGGAAUACAUUGGGUUUGUUGUUGUUGUUGCUGUUUGUUGUAGAUUGUCACUUGAGUUCGAUGUUCAAAUGCUAGACAACCUUAAAAAUAAAAUAAGUCAACAAAAAUUACAUAAUGCAUAAGUUCAACACAUACAAAAUCAAAGUCAGUCUGAGAGGAAAACUAAGCCUUAAUAAGCGUUCCAGGCGUGAAAAUUUAAGCUCCUAACGUACGAAACAGGACAGUGAUAGAACGCGAUGUCAAAUUUGCAAUUGUGAUUGUAAAGAAUGUAAGAGAGAUACAAAAUGAACAAGGUCAAAUUUUGUUGAACAUCAGAUUUGUUUAUUCACAUCAUAUUAUUAAUUCAUCCAACUCCAUACAUAAAAAUGAUAAAGCAAGGGAAAAGAAAUUUCUAUUAUGGUGAGACCAACUCAUUAAAUGAGAGCCUAUAUAAAUCAGGUCAAUCGUAGUUCAAAUUACAUAAGCAAGGAAGACAUAAAAGGAAACUGUCAGUCGUAAAACUUAAAGGAAUUUCAAAUGUUGGAGAGUCUGGAACAGAGAAUCGACAUGAUAACCUCUAUACCACUGUCAAACCUUUGCAAGUCAAGCCUAGUAGAUCAAUCAUCAUCACGAUUCUACUUUAUCACACUUAUAACUUUGUCGUCAAUCAGUGUUUGAAUUUUGUCUUUCAAAGUUCGACACUCUUCUGCGGUGUGUCCUGAAUGAUAAACACAAGUCUUAGAAUGAUAAAGCCAUGGUGCACAUGUGUUCACGAUAAUUACGGGAAUAGGAGUGAUAUAGCCAGCCAUCCUCAAUCUAUCAUAAUGUUGAGUUAUAGGCUCAACAAAGAGUGUGUGCUGUCGUAGGGGAUUUUCUAAAGCUUAUGUUGAGAUUUGAUGGAUUUGUUGAUUUGUUGUCGGAUUUUGGUAAAAAGUUGGAAUGUAGUUUGAUGUAGGAGUAACGAAUGAAUGUGGGUACCAAACAGUUUGAGGAGGUCUUGUGAAGGAUUGUGUAUAAUAGGCUUGAACGUAAUUAGAAAUUGAAAUGAUUUCUGGAGUUGGGUACCAUAUUAGUUGAGGUUGGGGUAUGUUUACUUCCAGCUUUGGAGGUUUGGAUGUCUCGUCAAUGAUUGUCUUCCUAUUAUUCUUGGAUUGUGGCUUAACCAAAUUUGCCUUAACUGUGAGCUUCCAUUUUAGCUUAUUGUCAAACCGCCUAACAAAGUCAAUUGCCAAAUGAUCCCAAGAAAGACUUUAGUCUUCAAGCUAUCACUUUGUCCUAUAACUGAUAGCUUGUCAAGGUACUCCUUCGCUGUCAAAGUACUCCUUCAAAUGGGAAUGAGGUUUCCUAACCUAUCAUAUAAUGGAAAGUUUAUCUCCUCGAUUGCCUCCCUGUCUUCAUCCCUUGAUUUGGAUGGCCUACUCAUAUUGGGUCGUUGAGAUGGUCCUGCCUCAUGGUCAAGAACCAGCCUUUCCAUCUCCUUGUCCUCACUUGUAUUCAUCAACUCAAUAAGUGCUUUUAGCAGUACAAUUGAAAACUGACAAUCAGACGUAGGUGAAAUUGUCAGUAUAGGGGACUCCGUUGUGUAGAUGGGAGGGUUGGAGUCUGCUUCAGGUAGCGACCCUGGAAAACCUGAUGUCACCUCAACAGAGCCUCCAAUAUCAGUCGAUAUUCCCCUAAUUAGCUCUAAUAAUGCUGAAAUUAUUUUAAUGUGCAGAAACAUGCUACAAUAAUGCUGAAUUGUUUUAAUAUGCAGAAACAUAUUAACACGUCAACAUCUAUUUUACUAUGCCAUACAACGUUUAAAUCCUAAAAGCAUGAUCUCUAAUCGAAUUAAUAAGUACAUUAAUUGUCUAAGCGGUUCAUAUGUUAAUAAAUCCUAGGUAUUUGUGCCAAAAUAAUCCAUGUAGCACGUAACACACGUAAAACCUAAAUUGUGCCUAUCUAUACUAUUCAUAGAGCACGUAAGUCCCCGCCCCUCGAAGCAGUCCCCAAUAUUUAUUAUUACAUCAAUAGUAAUAUUGUACAAUAAUAUUACAAAUCAAAUAAUAAGAAAAAAAAAACUAAAUAAAACUAAUACAAUCUAUUGUAAACACCCGGCGACUCUUG